GUGAGCUAGGAAGAGGAAUAAAUAGUCUAAGAGCAGUGAGAAUGGGAACAUAGAGGAAACCCUUAGCUAUCUGUCUGCGCCUCUAGAAUUGGAGGUGGAUAUCUAUCUUAGUGUUUCCCCAUGCUUCCCAUUACUACUGUUCUUAGGUUCUCCUUCCCUUCUUUUUACCUC
Molecule: microRNA precursor, 171 nt
Filed under: Triticum aestivum (bread wheat)
Lineage: Eukaryota; Viridiplantae; Streptophyta; Magnoliopsida; Poales; Poaceae
Description: MIR2118 microRNA precursor family
Rfam family: MIR2118 microRNA precursor family
Source: Rfam by way of RNAcentral